UAAAGUUUUGGUCCUAAACUUACUAUUACUUUUUACCAAACUUACACAUGCAAGUAUCCGCACCACAGUGAGAAUGCCCAUGAAUAAACAUGGAGCUGGCAUCAGGCACGCUAUUUAGCAGCCCAUAACGCCUCGCUAUGCCACAUCCCCACGGAACUCAGCAGUGAUAAAUCUUAAGCAAUAAGCGCUCUCCUCCAGCUUGACUUAGUUAUGGUGAUUAAAGCCGGUAAACUUCGUGCCAGCCACCGCGGUUACACGACGGGCUUAAAAUAAUAGAAUUCGGCGUAAAACGUGGCUAGAGAUCUCACAUGAGACCGGAAAAAAGACAAAGAUGUAAAAUUCCAAAACUUUUUAAGAAGACCAAUAGGUCUCACAAAACUUGACCCACGAAAGCUAAGAAACAAACUAGGAUCAGAUACCCUACUAUGCUUAGCCAUAAACCUAGGCACAACAUAACAUGUAUGCCCGCCAGAGAACUACAAGUGAAAAACUUAAAACUCAAAGGACUUGACGGUUCCCCAUAUCAGCCUAGAGGAGCCUGUCCUAUAAUCGACGAUCCACGAUAAACCUCACCCUCCCUUGCUUAACCCCAGCCUAUAUACCGCCGUCGCCAGCUCACCUCAUGAGAGAUGUAAAUUGGGCUAAAAGGUCCUACCACAAAAACGUCAGGUCAACGUGUAGCUUAUGGGGGGGGAAGAGAUGGGCUACAUUCUCUAAAUUAGAGAAUUACACAAGGAAAUAUGAAAUUAAAACCAGUAAGGUGGAUUUAGAAGUAAAUUGAACAAGAAAGUUCAGUUGAAUCUUGCUCUGGGGAGUGUACACACCGCCCGUCACCCUCAUCUCAAUUAACAACUUAUUUAAAUAAAACAAUAAAUAAUACCUAGAUGAGGCAAGUCGUAACAUGGUAAGCGUACUGGAAGGUGCGCUUGGCAAA
This is a non-coding RNA of Eublepharis macularius, 934 nucleotides long. Lineage: Eukaryota; Metazoa; Chordata; Lepidosauria; Squamata; Eublepharidae. The record is from the annotation of a RefSeq genome assembly.